Molecule: ribosomal RNA, 1431 nt
Filed under: Triticum aestivum (bread wheat)
Lineage: Eukaryota; Viridiplantae; Streptophyta; Magnoliopsida; Poales; Poaceae
Description: partial small subunit ribosomal RNA
Source: RNAcentral
AUGUGGAUCCAAGGCGGUAAAAAACAAAAUCGAAGAGAAGAGAGAAAAAAACGCAAACCAAUAAUCAAAUACCGCUACAUUUUUUAUUUGGUGUUUCAGAUCGGGCAAGGCACGUACAGCAACGUGUACAAGGCGCGGGACUCGCUGAGCGGCAAGAUCGUGGCGCUCAAGAAGGUGCGCUUCGACAACCUGGAGCCCGAGAGCGUGCGGUUCAUGGCCCGGGAGAUCCUCAUCCUCCGCCGCCUCGACCACCCCAACGUCAUGAAGCUCUACGGCCUCGUCACCUCCCGCAUGUCCUGCAGCCUCUACCUCGUCUUCGACUACAUGGUCCAUGACCUCGCCGGCCUCGCCGCCAGCCCCGACAUCAAGUUCACUCUGCCACAGGUCAAGUGCUAUGUGCAUCAGCUGCUGUCAGGGUUGGAGCACUGCCACAACCAGGGAGUGCUGCACCGUGACAUCAAGGGGUCGAAUCUGCUCUUGGAUGACGACGGUGUGCUGAAGAUUGGAGACUUCGGUCUGGCGUCGUUCUUCGACCCGAACCAUAAGCAACCGAUGACCAGUCGCGUCGUGACACUCUGGUACCGGCCACCAGAGUUACUGUUGGGUGCUACGGAUUAUGGAGUAGGUGUCGACUUGUGGAGUGCCGGAUGUAUCCUUGCCGAGUUGCUGGCUGGGAAGCCUAUUAUGCCGGGACGGACCGAGGUAGAACAGUUGCAUAAAAUAUUUAAGCUAUGCGGAUCCCCUGCUGAAGAAUAUUGGAAAAAAUCAAAGCUGCCUCAUGCAACCAUAUUUAAGCCCCAACAGCCGUACAAAAGGCGAAUAGCAGAGACAUUCAAAGAUUUCCCGCAAUCAGCACUUCGGCUGAUUGAAACACUCCUAUCAAUUGAUCCUGCUGAUCGUUUAACAGCUACUGCUGCAUUAAAUAGUGAUUUCUUUAAAACGGAACCUCUUGCUUGCGAUCCAUCAAGUCUGCCCCAAUACCCACCAAGCAAAGAGAUGGAUGCAAAACGAAGAGAUGAAGAAGCUAGACGUUUAAGAGCUGCUGGUAGUAGACCUAAUGGUGAUGGAGCUAGGAAGACAAGGACGCGGGAUCGACCAAGGGCUGUUCCAGCACCAGAGGCAAAUGCCGAACUUCAAGCAAAUAUCGACAAAAGAAGGCUAAUAACGCAUGCAAAUGCGAAGAGCAAGAGCGAAAAGUUCCCUCCACCACAUCAAGAUGGCGCACUCGGCUAUCCGUUGGGUUGUUCGAAUCACAUGGAACCUACAUUUGAGCCCCCCGACCCGUCUUCGUUCAGUACCGUAUUUCCUUACGACAAGACCGCCGUGCCUACGUGGUCUGGACCCCUGGUCGACCCUCCUGGGGGCAACCAGAAACGGAAACACAAGUCGGGACGCUCUUCGAAACAACCAUCAACUGCCCGUGCUCGGUGA